UAUCCCUUGUUCUUGAGGCCCCACCUGAC
This 29-nucleotide unclassified non-coding RNA is filed under the name Mus musculus (house mouse). RNAcentral's name for it is "oocyte_clustered_small_RNA1625". Lineage: Eukaryota; Metazoa; Chordata; Mammalia; Rodentia; Muridae. The record is from RNAcentral.